This 253-nucleotide ribosomal RNA is filed under the name uncultured bacterium. RNAcentral's name for it is "partial 16S ribosomal RNA". It matches the Rfam family "Bacterial small subunit ribosomal RNA", at positions 524 to 776 of the family's 1533-position model. The record is from RNAcentral.
UACGAGGGGGGCGAGCGUUGUUCGGAAUUAUUGGGCGUAAAGGGCGCGUAGGCGGUCGGAUAAGUCUUGUGUGAAAUCUUCGGGCUCAACUCGAAGUCUGCACAGGAAACUAUCUGGCUUGAGUGUGGGAGAGGUGAGUGGAAUUCCUGGUGUAGCGGUGAAAUGCGUAGAUAUCAGGAGGAACACCUGUGGCGAAGGCGGGUCUCUGGGCCGAUACUGACGCUGAGGAGCGAAAGCGUGGGGAGCGAACAGG